GACGAACGCUGGCGGCGUGCUUAACACAUGCAAGUCGAACGGAAAGGCCCUGCUUUUGUGGGGUGCUCGAGUGGCGAACGGGUGAGUAACACGUGAGUAACCUGCCCUUGACUUUGGGAUAACUUCAGGAAACUGGGGCUAAUACCGGAUAGGAGCUCCUGCUGCAUGGUGGGGGUGGGAAAGUUUCGGCGGUUGGGGAUGGACUCGCGGCUUAUCAGCUUGUUGGUGGGGUAGUGGCUUACCAAGGCUUUGACGGGUAGCCGGCCUGAGAGGGUGACCGGCCACAUUGGGACUGAGAUACGGCCCAGACUCCUACGGGAGGCAGCAGUGGGGAAUAUUGCACAAUGGGCGGAGGCCUGAUGCAGCAACGCCGCGUGCGGGAUGACGGCCUUCGGGUUGUAAACCGCUUUCGCCUGUGACGAAGCGUGAGUGACGGUAAUGGGUAAAGAAGCACCGGCUAACUACGUG
This 468-nucleotide ribosomal RNA is filed under the name uncultured bacterium. RNAcentral's name for it is "partial 16S ribosomal RNA". It matches the Rfam family "Bacterial small subunit ribosomal RNA", at positions 28 to 507 of the family's 1533-position model. The record is from RNAcentral.